RNAcentral lists this long non-coding RNA (3447 nucleotides) under Apis mellifera (honey bee). Its description in RNAcentral is "uncharacterized LOC107964300". Lineage: Eukaryota; Metazoa; Arthropoda; Insecta; Hymenoptera; Apidae. The record is from RNAcentral.
GUUCCAAUGUAUUUGUGGCCCAUUCCCUGAAUUCUCCUGAUUUCUGGUCUCACACACGCACACACUACAGCCACGGGCGAUCGCAAUUUAACUCUGUCACAGUUCACUUCGGACAAAGAGAUUCCUCGGGACUUGAAUAGCAAGAAUCCGAAAGGGACUCGCGACUCGCAAUGAAAACGUGUCAAGAAAGACGGUUAGACCUCUUUUUCUUCUCUAUCUCUCUCUAUUACGGUUAGACAAAAGAAAUUAGGAAUGGUCAGACCACGAUAUUUUUCACGAACAAGGUGACAUCACCACGAUUCAACUGCAAACACAAUCGACUCUCUACUUCACUUGGAAUCACGCGUAAAUUAAGACACUUGUCGAAUUUGAAACGACGACAAUGGACGACGAACAUACACUCACCGGCAAUUAAUUCGAUGAUCAUCACUCGAAUUUCAAACAGUCAAGUGUCCUCGAGACGGUUCGAUUCUCGAAUCGUAGUUCGUCGACACGAGUAAUCUCCAAUCGAUGCAUCGAUGAUCGCGCACGUUCGAUCUGUUUGGCAGAGAAAAACUAUUGCUUGACGUUCGUAAAUCUACGAGUCGAAUCGAUACGCGACAAAGUUCCGACAACACUCCACGAUACGCAUUACUUCGAAUGUUACCUCUUGAAUUUUUGCACGGGUUCAAAUGUUUCUCGAUCGACGGCACAAUGCGACAACGCACGAAAAUCGUGUCUCAUGCUGCGUCAUGCGAUAGCACGCGACGUAUGUAACUAUCACUCGUGUCGUUUGAAAAUUUUACUUGCGAUACGAUGCGGUUAAUGGUGGCCAAGAGAGGGAAAGAAGAGAAAAAGAGAGAAAACUAUCGUGUCGAAAACGCGUCGUGUCGGUGAGGCGCGAAGUUAAACGCAGCAGGUGCAAAGGGAGAGAAGUAAGCCGAAGUUGCGCGCGCAUCUACACAGUACGACACGGCUCGCGGCUCGCGAGAAACUGCCGGCUGCACGUUAACGCGAUACCCGACCGCCCCUUUCAAGCCGAGGAUCUGGCGCAGGGAUUUGUGGAACGCGAGAAAGAGGUUAGGAUGCAAUUGAAUGCCUGAAAGAUUAUAUUAUACGUGGCUACGAGGGACUAGACGCUAUCGGCAGGCUUCCAGGAAUGGAAGCCCUCCCCCCCGGAUUCGCUAACCAAAUAUUACAGGGAGGAACAACAGGAGGAGGCCGAUCUUGGGUGGAAGAUCAAUAAACGAGGAAAGAUGGAGAGGAGGGAAGAGUUUUUCAGAAGAUUUCCUCCCCGUGAUGUUUGGUCGUGGAGAGGAGGAUGAAGGUGUCCCGGUUUCCAUCGAGAGCGACACGCGUCUCGAAAUAUCUUGGAAGAUGUGGUCGGUCCAAAUGAAAAACUCGUCGCUCGGGCCAAUACGCUCGUCGAUUCUUGACAAACGGCCAGGUGAACGUCAGACAACCGGGGGAGUUGUCGAUUGGAACGAGUGAGAGUGGAGACCAGUUUCGAGAGGAAUGGAGAAGGAAUGAGGUACACGGUGUUGCGAGAUUAAUUUAAGAGCAGAGUUAGAGCAAAAGUUGAUCGACAUUUUAUUGAAGAUUCUAAAAUAAACGAGGCUUAUUUGUCAAGUUAUUUGAUUUUGGUUUCUGGGUGAACGAAAUGGGAUGAAAGUAGAGAGAGAUGUGAAGCUAUUUCUAUCUGUCUUUAUUUGAAUGUAAAUUUCUUGAAAUAUUUAUAUAUUUAGCGUGAUGUAUGAUGAAAGAUCGUUCAAGUACAAUUUUAUUUAUUGGAAUGAAAUUUUAAGUCGUGAAAAUAGGGAACACGGUCGUCAACACGUUCAUUGCCAAGAACAAAGGUAUCCUAAAAUAUGUUUCUUGUCUAUGAAUACAGAUUUUACAAUACACAGAACGGGAAAUACGUGUCAAUCGUUAUUGCGUGUAUAUUAUUCAACGCUUUGAAGAAAUACGACCGGAAGGAAUGGACUGUCAACUACUUCUUCAUUUUCACUAGGCCCCACGAACCAUUUCUCUAUGCCAUAUUUAGAAUAAUUCGAGAAUAGAUAGAUCUAGAAACGUUGAGACGUAAUUCUGACCUAGUUCACGUCUAUCACCUAUUAAAUAGAACACGAGGAUAUUUUAGUUUAGUGAGAGUUUUGACAUCUUUGUUGAUUUUUAACAUCAAGUAAUAAACAUUAAAAACAAGUGCUUUAAUACAUCAAAUUGAAAAAAGAGAUACAUAAUUUUCCAAUUUAAAAAUGACAAAAUAUAACUCAUCUGAUUCCCUCCAUAUUGCAAAAAAAAUUUCAAAACAUGAUUUAUCAAACUUUUACAAAUUUUCCUUACCAAAAAUGAAAUCAAAAAUUCACGAAAAAUAUAAUCCAUUAAAUUGCAUAAACCAUUUCUCCCUCCCAAAAGUACGACAAAUCUUGAAACGAGCCCUAACGAAUUCAAACGGUGUGGAAAGAAUCGUUCUCAAGAACAAGGCACGUUUCGUUCGUUCGUUCGAUCGAUCGAUCGAUCGAUGAUUAUCGAAGUUGAGACAUCGCGCGCCCCUCGAUCCUCGACUGUGCGACUCGCUUACGAGCCAGCCGCGGAUUCACUGGGCCUCGCUUUCGCCUGUGCCGCACACUCGCCUGUGAAAACCCACGCCUCCGUCGUGCCGAUCCUAAAAUAAAUCCCGUGGGAUCCAGUGGAUAGGAUGAGGGAAUGCCAGCACAUGGGAUGUGUCACGAAUAUCGCGCGCUCCUGCACGCUUCCAUGCACGCGAGCCACUCGCAACCGCGGCGGAUUGGAAUUUUAAAAUGCCUUUGCUCCCAUGUUUUUCCUCGUCGAGAUACGCUCUGAACGAUGUUGACCGUAUUUAUCGAUACGUAUUUAUACGUGUGUUACGGAUUAUGAUUUAUAAUGUAAAUUUUUGUAGAAUGUCGAGAGACGAAAUUUUUAUGGAUGGUUUAGAUGACGCGUUUGAUGAAAAAAAGGAGAGAGAUUUAAUGCACGGAAUAAUUUGAAAUGUCUUCUCGGUAUUUUUCCUCCUAGAGGAAAAGUUCUAGGAAAGAGUAUUGACUGUUUAUUACGUAUAUACUCGGACGUGUUACGAUUUAUGAUAAUAAAUUUUCCUAGAAUGUUAAAAGAUGAAAGUGUUAUGGAAAUUUUGGAUGAUGCGUUUUGUAAAUAAAGGAAAGAGAUUUAACGAAUGGAAUUUUAAAAUGUCUUACUUAUUUUUCUUCGUCGAGGUAGCUUCUUCUGGGAAGAAUAUUGGCUGUUUAUUGAUAUAUGUACUCGAGUAUGUUACAAUUGGAUUAUGUUAUGUUAUAAAAUUUAUGGUAUUGUUGAAUAGUUUUGCUUGGGUAUUUUUCGUGGUAAAACAUUAAUAUUAAUACGUGUUUGUUGAUAUAUAUAUUUGGAUCAUCGUAUUAUAAUUUAAUUUAUUUUAUAGUAUGAAUUUUGAUAAAAUAUUAAGAGGAGAAA